GACGAACGCUGGCGGCGUGCUUAACACAUGCAAGUCGAACGGAAAGGCCCUGCUUUUGUGGGGUGCUCGAGUGGCGAACGGGUGAGUAACACGUGAGUAACCUGCCCUUGACUUUGGGAUAACUUCAGGAAACUGGGGCUAAUACCGGAUAGGAGCUCCUGCUGCAUGGUGGGGGUUGGAAAGUUUCGGCGGUUGGGGAUGGACUCGCGGCUUAUCAGCUUGUUGGUGGGGUAGUGGCUUACCAAGGCUUUGACGGGUAGCCGGCCUGAGAGGGUUACCGGGCACAUUGGGACUACGAUACGGCCCAGACUCCUACGUGAGGCAGCAGUGGGGAAUAUUGCACAAUGGGCGGAAGCCUGAUGCAGCAACGCCGCGUGCGGGAUGACGGCCUUCGGGUUGUAAACCGCUUUCGCCUGUGCCGAAGCGUGAGUGACGGUAAUGGGUAAAGAAGCACCGGCUAACUACGUG
RNAcentral lists this ribosomal RNA (468 nucleotides) under uncultured bacterium. RNAcentral's name for it is "partial 16S ribosomal RNA". It matches the Rfam family "Bacterial small subunit ribosomal RNA", at positions 28 to 507 of the family's 1533-position model. The record is from RNAcentral.